Molecule: long non-coding RNA, 1111 nt
Organism: Symphalangus syndactylus (siamang)
Lineage: Eukaryota; Metazoa; Chordata; Mammalia; Primates; Hylobatidae
Source: RefSeq, a predicted model, not a curated record
UGUAUUUGGGACCCAUUUAGAAAAGAAUCUUUUCUUCUUAGUCAUCAGAGGAGCCAUUAGAGAGUCUUCACCAAGACUGAAAAUAUAAGCAAGAGUACAUCUUGAAGUGCUACUGCAGAGGAGGAUGAAAAGUAGAUUCGUGUGUGAAAUUCUACCUACCAAAUAGUGAAGCUGCAAAGUAAGGAAGACUUGAAUGGCCUUGCAUCUUCAAAGAAGUGCCUUGAGCUCUGGAAUGCAACAAAGUGGGAGAAACCACUAAACACCGGGAAAUGUCAACAAUGAGGCGGGAAUGCAUGGGCAGGAAGCCCCCUAAUCAGGAAUUGUCAAAGGACAUCCCUCCAAGAAAGUGAUACGUAUGCACCGUGGAAUACUAUGCAGCCAUAAAAAAGAAUGAGAUUAUGUCCUUUGCAGGGACAUGGAUGGAGCUGGAGGCCAUUAUCAUUAGCAAACUAACACAGGAACAAAUACUGCAUGCUCCCACUUUUAAGGAGGAGCUAAAUGAUGAAAACUCACGGAUGCAUAGCGAGGAACAACACACACUGGGGCCUAUCAGAGGGUGGAGGUUGGGAGGAGAGAGAGGAUCAAGAAAAAUAACUAAUAGGCACUAGGCUUAAUACCUGGGUGAUGAAAUAGUCUAUAUAACAACCCCCCAUGACACAAGUUUACCUAUGCAACAAACCUGCACAUGUACCCCUGAACUUAAAAGUUAAAAAAGAAAUAAAAAAGGAUUCUCUAAACCAAUGAAAGAUGUAACUAUCCCACUUCUAUGGGAUACUUACCUCUAUUUUUAAUUUGUUAUCAUAUAUGGGAUCAGCCUUCAUUAAUUACAGGGAACGGGUAUCAAUCAUAUUUUAAUUUACAGGGUUUAGCAUAUUGCCUAAUAUAUGACAAUCCUCACAUUGAACUUUGCUUUUUGAGAAACAGUUAAACUCCACCUGAAUGACCAGAUAAAUUUGAAAUGAAUAAAAUAUCAAAGUAUAAGUGAUUUAAACAAUUAUAUUCUACUUCAUCUUUGAGAACUUUCCUGACAAUCUGAGUCUAAACACUUCUCUUUUAUCAUUUAUUUUAUCCACUAUGUAGCUAUGAGUAAUCCAUUGUCUUGUAAAAUCUA